UUUGAAUUCCAACAUGACUGUUCAUUAUUUGUAAUAUAAUUUAGGAAGGAAAAAUAUCUGGAAGAAUAUGGGAAGCAAUGAUCUAAGCAUGGUGGGACCAGUAUAUGGAAGAGGGCUGAGGAUGUGAUCUCUUUAUAGUCUGUAGCAGAAAACAAAUUCAAUGACAGGACAGCUUUCUUCUUCUUGCUUCUUUCUUAGGUAAUUUGAAGCGAACAAUUUGUGUACAUUGCAUCUGAGUCUUAUUCCAACUUCAUUCAAUUUUUUUUUAUAACAAAUACUAGAAAGGUGGACCACCAACUCAGAGCAGCCAUGGAAGGAUAUCCUUAGUGCAAAAUUUAAAAACUAAAAAAAUUGAAAGAGAAAAGAAUGGCAAGGAAGAAGAACCAUUAUUGGGGAGGUUGAAUGAACUCAGGGCAGCCACGGAAAUAGUGCAGAUAUGUUAAAAAUAAAUGUUCAAACGGAAAUUAAUCUUAAACUAAAAUUCAUAGAAUCCAAAGAAAAAGAAACAGAGAAAGUUAUACCUUGAUGGAGAACCGAUCUUGAGCCAUGAGAGGAUUACUAUCAUGGGGUUUGGGAUUUGUGGAAAAAUAAGCAGCAGGUGACCUUGGUUCUAUACUGAACUUCCUGCAAAAUGGUAGCCAAUGUUUUGAGAAGCAAGAGGUCUCUAACAAGGCAUAGAAGGUCAGGUCUGAGCCUCCAUCAUCAGAGAGAUAGCCGCAUAAUUUUUGUGAUGGAUAAUUAUAAGCUAUUGAUUUUCGUGCAACGAUUCUUAGUGAAAAAUUAGAAAAAAAUGAAAAGAAAACACACAGAUUUAACGUGCUUCGAAAGAUUGCCUAUGUCCAUUGGAACACGGAAGAAGACUUUCACUAUAUUUCAAUUAGGGUUACAUAAAAAGGUAUUUAUAUUAACACUCAAGUAUUGAAAUUCUAAGAAUACCCUUGAACUAUACCAUGAAAUAUAAGUUUAAAGGGCAAAUGUCGUCGCUUUGCUCCGGAAUUGACCCAUUUUUUUCCAUGUCUUUCACUCAAUAUAAGUCACAUACUACAACAUAAGCCACGAAUGAUAAAACAGUGUUGAUGACCAUGAUGGGCAGCUCUAUUCUUGGUACUGCAGUGCACACAAAUAUGCCUAUGCCUGGAAAAGCGUUCUCGUAUCUGCAAUUAAGUUUCACAAUAGGCAAUUAGCAAGUGAAGAUGGAGGCAAGAAAAGGGAGAGGAAGAGAGAAAAGAUCACCUCUGAGAGAGCCUGUCUUUGAAGGUGUAGCGAUAGAUGGGGUUCCAUCUGACGAAUUGAGUGAUGAACCAGUACAAACUGAACCACAAUUCAGCUAAAGAUAAACCCAUCCAAGCCCAUCUUCUCAGCAGUUGUCCAUCUGCAGCUGGGAAGUGAACCACCCUAUAAAUACAGAUAAAAGUGAUGCCCACCAAAACUGAUGCUGCAUAGCAUCUGAAUAGUAUACGACCCCUAGCAGCUUUUGUUUCAAAGAGAGGAAGAUAGCCAUCUUUGCCCGUUGCUUCUGUCUUUCUCUGACCACCAUGUGAUCAGCUUAUAUAAAUAGUUUGGUUUGCAUUUUUCAUUUUAUUGUUGUUAUGGUCAAAACUUUACUUUGCCGCUUUAAAUGGCAUCAAAGAAAGGAGUAAAAACAAAUUAUCCCAUCUAAGCCCACACAUCUCUAAAUUGCUUUCCUCUUGUAAAUGAACCGAGCACAAAUAGAACAAGUACCCAUAAAGGUUGAAACUGGAUUAACUGUGAAACAAGAUUUGACCCUUUUCAGCCCUUGUUUCAAACAGAGGAAGAGAAACAUCUCUCUAGCUCUCAUGCUCUCAUACUCUCCCUCUGCUGUCUCAUGCAUUACCUUAUAUAACCUGCCCACUGUUUCCUUUAAAUUCAAGAAUGUUUCUAACAAGGAGACAAGGGAUAUUCAAGGUUUAAGCAUCCUCUGCAUGCACAAACAGAGUUCAUGUGCUCAUUCUUUUUUCCUUAAAAAUUUGCAAUUUCUGGACUCUCUGGUGACACCCUGAUGAACAGGGGUUUAAGCAAGAGGCUUGUAACAAAUUAAAAUGGGUACAUGAUUAAUAUCGAAGCCUUUAUACCUGGAGAAACAUAUACUAUCCAUUAUUGAAAAUUGAAACUGCAUCAGUUAUACAUAUAUAACAGUUCUUCAGAGCCUUAUAUAAUACAUAUAAAGUUGUGGCAAAGAGACUUUGCUUACUGAUACAGUAAACUAAUACAAGGCUAUUGAACAGGCCAACAGCGCUAAAGAAACUGAUUUGUAUGUGACUGAUGUUGGCAUGGUGCCCUUGUCCUUGCGGAAAAAGAGCCCUUGGUAUACAGGCAGGUUGAUGAGAACAAGAACCCCACAUAAGAUAAUCUGCAGAACUAAUGACUCCAAAGGUUUAAUUUGAAUAUCCACAACCACCCUCUUUACACCACAAACAAAACUGAACAGAUUGAGCAAUGCAAGUGUAGCUGAAAUGGUAAACAGUGGUGAAGGAGAACCAAACUCCAUGAUUUCUUGCUCGUAUCUUUGAGACACAUCUUCAUCACACACCUUUGCAGUGACAGCAAAAGUGGUCUCAGCAAAGCCUAGUAUCCUCAAGAUUGUAUCAAGGAAGGCAAAGAAGUAGGAAGUUGUCCUUCUGAACAUCCAUAUUCUUUGAUCAUUCCACCAACCUUGGAUUGUGCCACCAUACCAAUGAAACUCACCUAAGCUGUAUGCAUGCUUGGCAAUAAUGACAUAGGCAAAGGGAAGGACCCACAGGCUCCAUAUCUGAAAAAGUAACAUAAUUCAUUGCUGGGAACCAAAUAGCAUUUCAAUUGUUUGGAUACAGCAAAGUGUCAUGUCAGGACUUCUCUUUCUAAAAUGGAAGAAGAAAAGCACAUAGUUCUUUUCGAAGUAUUUAGGAAAAUCUAUCAUGUUCAGAAACUAAAUUUAUUGAGAAUAAUUUGAGAAAUUUUGCUAGCUAGUGAUCAUACAUUAUAGAACAAUGUUGCCUGUGCUUGACAGUAAGUAUUUUGCAGUUCUGUACUACUCAAAAGUUUUUAAGUUUGGAAGUAUCUGUUUAAAUGAUGUAAUGUUCAUACCUCUGGAAACAAGGAGAUGCCUCCAAGGAGACAAAGGGAUGGGACAGCAACAUAGCAUAGCAUAGCCAAGGAGUAUGCAGCCCACAGAUUAUAGAUAGAGUAUGCGAGUUGAAGUUUCAGAGGAACCUUUUUGUGUCCAUAUAUAAAUGGACAGUGUCUCGAGAGAAACAUCUGAAGGUGGCCUUCAGACCAUCUCUUAUGUUGUACUAGUGACUGCAACAGUGUUGUGGGCGCAACACCCAAGAAGCCCUUCCUUUCUGGAUUGACAUAGACGGAUUUCCAACCUCUACAUUGUAUUGAGAAUCCUGUGAUAAUGUCUUCCACUGCACAAUCAUACUUCACGCCCAUCUGCAAUUCAACAUAAAGAUUAAGUUUUUUAGCUUAAGAAAAGGAAAAAGCUUUACAGGCAGGAAAUUCAUGAGACAGAGACAGAAGAACCUCCUUUCCCCAUUGACUGUUCUCUUCAUAGGUACAACUUGCAAGGACCUUACAUGAUUCUUCUAGUACACUAGCACUUUCUCUUCCUCUUCUGUCAUUCUCUUUCUUCCAUUCUCUCUCACAUUCCUUGUCAUAUUUCAUUCCACACAGUGCCACUCUCCUAUGAAAGCACCCGGUACCAAUAUAGAAAGGUCCUCCAUUAGAAUCAAGGCCUGGAAGUUCCACCUUUUUCACCAGUCAUGCCAAAAGCCAACAAUAAAAUCAUUAGGAAGUCAUUGCUAAUGCCUACCUCCUCUAGGCCAAGCAGUAAGGAAUAAAUAAUUCUUUCCAAUCUUGCCUACCUGAAUAAUCACCCUAAAGCAGGUGCCAUAUAAGUCAUUCCUAGUAAGAUUAUCGUAGCACUGUGGAAACUGGACAUAAGCAAUUUCAUGGCCCUUCUCUUCAUCCAUGAAAAAACACAGAGCAUCUCUCACUGAUUCUGAAUUGUUGGAGUACAUGUCACAGUCCACAUUAAGAAUAAUCGAGCCAUUGCUUAUCUUUGAUGACACCCUUAUCUGUUCAACAAAAUCAGAGUCACCUACAUUAAGAUAAUUGGCAGUGGUUCACUGUAGGAAAGCUGAAGUCAUUUAAGCUUACGAGUGCAUUCAUGGCUCCAGCUUUAAAAUUGUGAUGGUAUUGGGGUCUCUUCUCACGGGACAAGUAUACUAGAGUUGGCAAAGGUUGUCCUUCAGAGUCCACAGCCUUGGGGUCUCUCCCAUCAAUCACUAUCUGUUACUUUAUAUAAUAUUAGUAAAAGAUGAAUCAAAGAUAAAUAUGGAGAAAAACCAAGAAGAGAUGUAUUGAUUUUCAAGAAGAAAUCUCUUGGAAUAGGAAAAAAAUACACAAAUUAGUAGAAUAACUACUUGAACAAUGGACUGAUGGUCAUGCCGUGUUGAAGCACUGUUCCACUCCAGAAAUCCCUUGUGCUCCUUUCUUAUUUCUUCUGAAAUUCUCCCCAGUCUAGUGGUGGUUUCGAUUCUAUUCUUCAUGUCUUCAUACAAUUCCUAUAAUGAGAAAAGGAAUAGAACUUCUAAAUCGUAUGUAGAAAAACUCUAAAAAGAUUUGCCUAGUAUGGGAGUUACACAUACUCAUUACAACAUGGAAAGAGAGAAAAAUUCAAGUACCAUACCACAUGCCAUUACAGUCUGAUGAACAUUUUCUUUGUUCUCCUAAGAGUUUAAGUUCCUAGGAUUUGGACUUUUUUUUUUUUAAUUUUUAAUUUUUAAUUUUUAUUUAUUUGUGGGCAUACAUGUGGGCUCAACAAAUCAGGAAAAUAAAUAUGUAUUGAGGUUUGAAUACAUGAUCUCCCACCCAGCCUGCUUUAUCAAUUUUACUAAAAACUUAACUUUGCAGGAUUUGCACCCAUAAUAUAUAUUAUACUCUUCCACACUCAUCAUUAUUUAUGAUCUCUAAAUUGUUUGCAGGAUUUGGAUCUAUAAUAUAUGUUAUACUCUUCCACUCUUCAUCAAUUAUGAUCUAUAAAUUGCUUGUACGAUUUGGACCCAUAAUAUGUCUUGUACUCUAUCAUAUUCCUCAAUUCUAAUCCCUCAUAGAAUUUAUUUGAGUGGUCAUAAUGCAAGUCAAAUCUUAAGAGAAAGGAAGGAAUUUCAUCUUCGUCACAGUUUUAAAACGUGUCUACUUGGUUAAGAGAAACCUCUACAUAUAUAGUAUUAGGAACAUUUUCCCCUAUCCGAUGUGAGACAUUACAAACGCCCUUCCAUGUAGAUACAAUGUCCUCGUUGUGUCCUAUGGGAUUGUGGGGCCAAACAAACAAACACUCCUUACGGGGCCAAACAAACCCCCACACCGGGGUUGGGGAUCGGCUCUGAUACCAUUUGUAACAAUCUGUUCCCAAUCGUGUAGAUAUUAUCCGCUUUGGACCCAAAGAGGCCAUCAUGACUUUAAAACGCGUCUACUUGGUUUAAAGGAGCCUCUACAUAUAUAGCGCCAGAAACAUUCUCCCCUAUCUGAUGUGGGACAUCACACUUGCCUUUUGCAAAGUCCUUAAACCAUAUUUUACACUGCUUUUAAAAAACACUUAAUUUUACUUUAAAAAAUAUUUUUGAGAAAAAAAUAUGGUCGCUUCAUAAAAUUUAAAAAACAUUUCUAAAAAAUUAAAAAAUCUUAGCAUUCUAUAUAUGAUCCUCCCAUAAAAAAAAAAAAAAAAAAAAAAAAAAAAAAAAAAAAAAAAUCUUCUUCUAAAGAACACUACCGAGCACACACUCAUUCAUUCAUUAUCUUCCCUGCAAAACUUUCCGGAAAAGAUGCAACAAUUUUGAAGUGGGUCAGACUGAUGAUGCACAGCGGUCGACAUUAAUGUUGGGGAUCUUUCGUAUCUUAAAUAGUUACUCAUUAAAAGGACAGCAUCCUUCUUACUGUCUGAGGCUCUCUUCCAGCUUCGAUUAUUUCCUUUAACAAUUGGGUCUUUGGAAUGAAGUCAGAGCAGCCUUGGAAGUAGUUGCAGCUUGCAAAUAUAUGUUGACAAUUGAUCUUAAACCAAAAUUCAUAGAAUCCAAGGAGAAAAAAACAGAGAAAGUUGUACCUUGAUGGACAACCACUCCUGAGCCAUGAGAGGAUUGCUAUCAGGGGGUUCAGAAGUUGUGGAAAAAUAAGCAGCAGGUGAUCUUGGUUCUAUACUGAACUUCCUACAAAAUGGUAGCCAAUGUUUUGAGAAGCGAGAGGCCUCCAACAAAGCAUAGAAGGUCAGGUCUGAGCCUCCAUCAUCAGAGAGAUAGACGCUUAGGUUCUGUGAUGGGUAAUUGUAAGCCAUGACUGAUAAAACAGUGUUGAUGACCAUGAUGGGUGGCUCUAUUCUUGGAUCUGCAGUGCACACAAAUAUGUCUAUGCCCGGCAAAACCUCCUCAUAUCUGCAAUGAAAUUUCAGAACGAGCCAUUAGCAGGUGAAGAUAGGAGCAAGAAGAGGGAGAGAGAUUGAAAAAACCUCUGAGAGAGCCUGUCUUUGAAGGUGUAACGAUAGAUGGGGCUCCAUCUAACAAGCUGAGUGAGAAACCAGUAGAAACUGAACAACAACUCAGAUGGAAACAAUCCCAUCCAAGCCCAUCUUCUUAGCAAUUGUGCGCCUGCAGGUGGGAAGUGAACCACCCUGUAAACCCAGAUAAAAAUAAUACCCACAAACACUGAUGCUGCAUAACAUCUGUAUAGGAUACGACCCUUUGCAACCUUGGUUUCAAAGAGAGGAAGAUAGCCAUCUCUGCCCAUUUCUACACUGCCUCUCUCUCCAUUCAUUUCCAUGACCUUAUAGAGUCACAUGACUUUUUUUUUUUUUUUCAGUGGAUUAUUGGAAGGACACCAUUGGUGGAGCCCUUUUUUCGAAAUUUACAGUCCUUGUAUGCUAUACUUUGUCACCAUGUGAGUGGGUAACAUUGGGUGGGCAGGCCAAAGGAUGGUUUUAUUUUUUAAAUAUUUUGAACACAUUUAAAAAUCAAAGAAUUUUGAUCUAUGGAAAUUAAUGACUAGUUGGUGUUAGUCUUUGAACGAAAGAGUACUUUGCAGUAUCAUAUUAAAUUCGUUUGUCUAAUAUCAUUUCAAAUCAUGUAAGGUCACAUGGCGACUAAGUUGUUAUUAAAAAAUGCUUUCACGUAUAUGAAAAAUAUGACUACUCCAACGCAAAAACAAUAUAAAAAAGAUUAGGGUGAAGAAUGUGAUUAAGUUAAUAAAAUAUAUAUAUAUGAUUAAAGAUAUAAUGUACUAAAGCAGUAAGAAUGUUGUCAUAUUCCUAGUAAGGACAAGUUGGUCUUGAAAUUUUGUCUCAAAAAAUCUCCUGUCACCUUCAAAACGUAAGAGAAGGUCUCACAAUCUCUUUCAAAGUUAUAAAUGACUUUUUUAAAACACAACUAAUAUAGAUCAAGAUAAGAAUAAAUGUCUCUUUCACAAUGCUUUUGGAAAGUAUUUUUAAUAUAAAAUUAAAAAAAUUUUUUUUUUUUUUUAAAAUUGAAUAUUUGGUAAAUUUUUAAAAAUCAUUUGAAAUAUUUUUUAAAGAAAUAUAUGAUAGAUGGUUCUUUUAAAAAAAAUAUUUUUUAAUGAAAUUUAAAAAAAUAUUUUUAAGAAGUUGAAAAUUUUCUUAUAGUGUUUUUUGAAGAAGUAUUUGAUAGAAAUGGAAAUAUAGAGAAAUAGUAAUAUAGUAUGAUGUAAUAAGAUGUAAAAAAAAGAGUAAAGUAAUUGGACAAUGUAAACAUAUUCAAAAGUGAGAUUUUGUGGAAAAAUAUUAGUUUGCAAUAGAAAAUAAGGGCAAAAAUAAUGAUGUUGAAUGUGUAAUGUACAGUGAAUAAGGAAUGAUAGAUAAAUAGAAUUUGUGAAAAAAAAGAAAAAAAUUAAGGAUGUGUGGUUGGACAAGGAAUUGAUGUUUUGAUGUUGUAUGGUAAAGGAGGAAAACAAAAUUUAAAUAUAGAAUUAGUUAUUAUAAGGAUUAAUUAAUAAUAAGGGAUAUAACUUUUUUAUUUUUUAUUUUAUUUUAUGGUACAUCAUAAUGUCAUAUUUGUAUUAAUGAGAUUUAUUUUAUUUUAUUUUAUUUGUAAUUUAUAAUUUAAUCAAUUUAUGCUAUAAUAUUUAGUCCUAGUGAACAUGACUUACAUUGUUAAUUUUUGUUACUUAGCAAGUUGUAGAAGAAUUGAAAAAGGUGAACGGAGAGUGGUCAUUAACCUAAUGAUAUCAUUUGAUUGACUUAAUUCUCUUUUGAUUUGAAAACAUGUUUAUCAAAAUCCCAUUAGUUUAUGCAAAUUUGUUUAUAUUUUGUAAGCUGAAAUUUCCAUGACAUUUUAUGUUCUUUUUUUUCUUUGUUUUUACCAAAAAGCUCAUCAUCUCUACUUUUGAAAUGCCCCUUUUGACUGCGUUUUGGUCCCUUGAAUGUGGAUAAUAAGUCACAUCAUGAGUAGGAAGGCAUCUCAUUAGUUUGUCAUUAGCAACUUUGUGAGUAGGAAGGAAUCUCAUUAGUUUAUCGUUUGCUUAGUCUUAGAAUUAGGGAUGAUAAUAGGAUGAGUUUUUUUAGUACCCGUUCCGCACAUAAUGGGGUGAGGUUUAAUUUUAAUAAACGAAUUUGGGACGAGUUUGAGAAUUUUUUUUUUUAAAACUCGCAACAGGUUCAGGUAUUGCCUCGUAUCGCCCAAUUAUAUAUAAAAUUAAUUUAAUUUAAAAUUUAAAAUUAAUUUAAUUUAAUUUUUAUUUUACUAUUUUUAAUAUAUAAAUAAUAAUUCUUGGGGAGAACUUUAAUAGGGUUAAAUACUAAAACUGCCCUUCAACUAAAACUUUUAAAAUUCAAAGUAUUUAAAGUACUUCACUUGAUUUGUCAGGAUAUUUAUGGUGCAUAGGUUCCACAUUUAUUGUAAUUAUUGAUAUUCAAAUUUUAAAUCAAAAUUUUGGUUUAACCCUUACAAUUAUAUAUAAUUUUUUAUUUAAAUUUACCAUUUAAAACAAAAAUAUUUUCAAAAUUGUUCUUUAUUUUUACAUUUUUUUAUUUUUAUUCUUUUUUUAAUUUUAUUAAGAAAAAAGAUAAGUUUUAUAAUUAUAUAGUAAAAAUGAUGAUUUUUUCAUAUAUAUAUAUAUAUAUAUAUAUAUAUAUAUAUAUAUAUAUAUAGAUUAAUUUUAAAUUGAUAAAUUAUGUUUUUGUAUUAAAUUCAAAGAAGAUAAAAUGUUUAAUUUUUCAUUCAUAUUAUUUAAAAAUAAUAAGAAAAUGAUGGAGAAUGUUUAAUCAUUUUUUAUUUUUAUAAUAAAAUAAUUUAAAAAAAUUUAUAGUGUUUUUUUUUCCUCAAUGCAUCAAGUGGAUGAUGUUAAUAUAUUUGAUAUGUUGAAUAUUAAUAAGGUAUAAAAAGUGAUUUUAAAGAUUAUUACUUUUUUUUAUAAAAUACAGGUACAACAAAAAUAUGUUAUAAUUACAAUAUAAAUACACUUACAUUACAAUAAACCUAAUUAGGAAAUUUUUGAAAUUUUUUAUAAAAAUGAUAAUUUUGUAUGAUCAUACCAUAUUUCACAAAAUACUUAUAUCAUAAAUAAUUUCUAAAACCAAAUGAAAUACUAAUUUGAAUUCACUCGUAGUUUUAUUUUUUAAUAAACAAAAAUUAUUAAAUAAUUUUAAUGCACUAUAUGAAUGUUGUUAAUAUAUUGAUACGAUGUGUUAAUACCAAUAGGGUAUGAAUAAAUAUUUUUAGAAUUAUUAUUUUUGUAAUGAAAUAUAGUUAGGACAUAAAUGCAUUAUAUUUAUAAUAUAAAUGCACUAUCAUUACAAUAUAUUACAACAUAAUUUAAUUUAUUUUUGUUUAAUUUUUUCACAUGUUAUAUUACCCAAUGUAUAAUUGUGAGUUAUUAUAUUUAAUAGGUGUGUGUUAGUCAAUUGAAUAUUUAUAUAUUAUUCAAUUGACAAGUGCUUGUAAAAAAUAAUUAUUCAUUCUAUUAUGGUAACAAAGUUUUUAAUUAUAUGUUCUAUUAAUAAAACGAUAUAAUAAUAUUAGGAUAUGGUUUUUCUUUAUGAGAUAUUGAAAAUUAUUUUUUUUUACAAGAUUCUUUAAAAAAUCUCAAUUUUUUUUGAAAAAAAAGAAGAAAAAAUAACAAAUUUUAAACAAUCACUUGAUUGUUUAAAAAUGAACAACAAUUUUUUCGGGUAUGAGAAAUGUACUGUAUUUAUCAUCAUGUAUGAGCCUCAUAUCAUAUAAUCUCAAAUUUAUUUAUAAAUAAUAUAGAAAACAUAUUCAAGGAUAAAACUCUCUUCUAACAAUCUUUAAGAUGAGUGGGCCUUUCUAGUAAUUAUUCUUUCUAACCUACCUGUAGACCCCUCAGCUAGGGGCAUUGUUUUUAUUUUUAUUCAUUUUUUUUUCUUCUUCUUUUCGGCUUUUUUUAUCCACCCGAGGCCGGCUGGAAGUGAAAGGAGGGAGAAGGAGCUAUCCUUAGGCGGCUGUAGGGAGCAGGGAACAGGAGAGCAGGUGUUAGAUUUCCGGAUCUGAGGAAAAAGAAAAGAAAGGGUGAGGGAGAGAGAGGCAAGGGGGGGAGCGUCUUCUGUAGAGAGAGUGUGCUUUUCAGAGGGUGUUUUUUUGCUGCUGGUUGGCCGGAGAUAUUUUUGAAGGAGAGUUUCCAGGCUGGUGACAAGGAGAGGCUGCCAGGAGAGGAAAAAGAGGUUUUUUUCUCUGCAGUGGACUUGAAGCUAGGGGGAGAGCUCGGAGGGGAGGAGUUUUUGGAGGGGAUUCGCAGUAGAGCUGAAGGAAAAGAAGAGAACAGAGGAUGAGAACAGUGCCAGGUGAGAUUGAGGUAAGUGACAUGUUCAUCUGGAUUCAUAUUGUUUUUUUUUUCUCUUUCGAGUUUUUGGAUUGCUCUGCAUUGCUCGUCUUGUUGAUUUUUGAAUUUUUUUUUUUUUCAUUUCGUUUCCAUGCAAACUCAUUCUUUUUCAUCCCCCUGCAAAGCUUUAAUGCUCAUGUGCAUUGCUACCCUAUCAUGCAAGCCAUUCCCUCACCCUCUUCCUCCAUUCCGACGUCUUCCGCUCUGUCGACCAAUGCUCCGAAAGUCGCCUUCGGCGCGCCCAGGUGGUGGCGGCUGUUGCUAUUACUGCCGCGACCACCCUCCAAAUCUGCUAUGGGUCCAGGUCUCAUUUAGACGGCGACGACAGCGGCGCCGAAGCUCCCGCCGGUGCUGUCGUCAAUGGGGAUGCGGAGGUGGAGAAAGUGAAGCACAAGAAGCCCGAGGCUUCUCUUGGCGAUCCUCGGGUGGAAAAGCUAUGGGUGGCAGCAAUGUUCAGGAAGCGUUUAUGGUUGCUAUUGGGCUUGAGGGUGAUGAUUUUUGCUAAGUGGGCUUGGGCUUGAUGAAGAUGGAGCUUAUUAGUGGGCUUAAGCUUAUGGAUUGGGCUUAUGAUGGAGAUGGAGCCCAAAGCCCUUUUUAAUUCCUAUUAUUAUCAUUAUUUUUAAUUCCUAUUAUUAUUAUUAUUAUUAUUAGCGGAUAUUAUUAUUAUUAUUAUUAUUAGCGGAUAUUAUUAUUAUUAUUAUUAUUAACGAAUAUUAUUAAUAUUAAUAUUAUUAUUAUUAUUAUUAACGGAUAUUAUUAUUAUUAUUAUUAUUAUUAUUAUUAUUGUUGCUAUUACUAUUAUUAUUAUUAUUAUUAUUAUUAUUAUUAUUAUUAUUAAUUAUUAUUAUUAUUAUCACUAUUAUUAUUAUUGUUAACAUUGUCAUUAUUAUUAUUAAUUCAAUUUUCCAAAUCAUUAUAUUAUUAUUAUUAUUAUUAUUAUUAAUUCAAGCUUUUAAAAUCUUAUUAUUAUUAUUAUUAUUAUUAUUAUUAUUAUUAAUUAUUAUUAUUAUUAUUAUUAUUAUUAUUAUUGCUAUUACUAUUAUUAUCAUUAUUAUUAUUAUUAUUAAUUAUUAUUAUUAUUAUUAUUACUAUUAUUAUUAUUGUUAACAUUGUCAUUAUUAUUAUUAUUAUUAUUAUUAUUAUUAUUAUUAUUAUUAUUAAUUCAAGCUUUUAAAAUCUUAUUAUUAUUAUUAUUAUUAUUAUUAUUAUUAAUUCAACUUUCAAAAUCUUGUUAUUGUUAUUAUUAUCAAUUCACACUUUCAUAAUCUUAUUAUUAUUAUUAUCAUUAAUUCAACUUUUAAAAUAUCAUUAUUAUUAUUAUUAUUAUUAUUAAUUCAACUUUUAAAAUCUUAUUAUUGUUAUUAAUUCAACUUUUAAAAUAUUAUUAUUAUUAUUAUUAUUAAUUCAAAUUUUAAAAUAUUAUCAUUAUUAUUAUUAUUAUUAAUUCAACUUUCAAAACCUUAUUAUUAUUAUUAUUAUUUCAAAAUCUUAUUAUUAUUAUUAUUAUUAUGAUUAUUAUUAUUAUUAUUAUUAUUAUUAAUUCAAUUUUUAAAAUAUUAUUAUUAUUAUUAUUAAUUCAACUUUCAAAAUCUUGUUAUCAUUAUUAUUAUUAUUAUUAUUUCAAAACCUCAUUGUUAUUGUUAUUAUUAUUAUUAUUAUUAUUAUACUAUCUCUCAGUUCAAUUUCCUAAUAUUAUUAUUAUCAUUAUUAUUAUUGUUAUUAUUAAAAAUCUAUAUCCUCGCAAUUUAAUUUCCUAAGGUUCAUUUCUUCUUCUUAUUAUUAUUAGUAUUAUUAAAGAUCUAUAUUCUUGCAGUUCAAUUUCCUAAAGUUCACUCAUUAUUAUUAUUAUUAUUACAAAUUCAACUUUCAAAACCCAUAUUCUCGCAAAUCAAUUUCCUAAAGUUCAUUUCUCAUCUUCUUUGGCACAUUUCAUUUUAAUUACUGGAGCUCUAAUCUUUCAAAUUUAAUUCCCAAUACUCCAAUUUUCAAGUAAGCUCCAAUAAUCCAGUUUUCACUCGAAUAGUUUUUAAUCACAUUUCAGUUCCUAAAUAAUCUUCUGAUCUUCUUGAUUCUGCAUAAGCAAUAGUGAUUCCUUCAUAAUUCUAAAACACGGGAUUUGUGGGAUUAGCUCAUGAACAAUAAAUCGGGCUUUGUUGGGGGCCCUAUGUUUGACCCCUUUUGACUGUCAAUUAUCGUGCUUACCGUAUUUUGCUUGAGCUUCGUUUUGCACUCCGAUAUGUAUGAGCCAUGUUUUGUAUUCAUUAAUUGUGCACUAAUCCCGUUUCUUGAUAGCGCAUUGUGGCUCGUGGCCGAGGUACGCAUCCACUCCCUUUCUAGUCAAUCUCUAUACGUAUUCUGGUUCUCGUUUGUGCAUGAUUGACGUGAGUGUUCAUUGACUUUCUUAUUCGAUUGCCACAUCAGCUUCCUUUUAUUAGUAGAGACCCGAUUUUAGGGACUUAGAGGGAUGCUAUGGUCUUCACCGUACCUUCCCGAUAAGUAACCUGACCCCCGAACUCGAUCCGAUUUUUCACAGACCACCUUUUCCAAAACAAGGAGUCACACUUAGGGUUUUUCUUUCUUAUUUUGUUUACCCUUUAAAAAUAAAACAAAAAUAAGUGGCGACUCCAAGUCAAUUUUUCUUAAUCAAUAAAGAUCAAUUUUUCGAAAUCAAAAUCGAGCUCGCCAUCGAGUGGAAAACGCAUUGAGCCGAAAUGCGGGGUCCACAAAAUGGCGACUCCGCUGGGGAUCUUUUAGAGGGUCAAGCUUGAACUUAAAGUGAAGCAAACGUGGCGUUUGGUGAGUCGAUCNNNNNNNNNNNNNNNNNNNNNNNNNNNNNNNNNNNNNNNNNNNNNNNNNNNNNNNNNNNNNNNNNNNNNNNNNNNNNNNNNNNNNNNNNNNNNNNNNNNNUGAGUACAUUGACAUGUUGACUAUAUUGAUUGAUCAUCUUGCCUUGGUUAGCAUAAUCAUUCUGAUUUUUCCAUGUUUGUUCUGAUUACCUCACAUGUAUAGACUCACCAUUGUAUAUCAUUUGAUUUGACAUGAUUGAUUCUCUUGGUUAUAUAUUAUCUUGUUUAUCAUAGAGCAUGCUAUCAUUUGUCAGAUAUUCUUCUUGAUUGGCUUGUGUGUAGAUUUGGAUGAUAUAUACCUGUUUUGCAUGACUGUCUGUUGCAUGACUCUUCUCAUCCUGAUGCGACUGCAUGAGUUGUGUGUCUAUGUGGAACACACACUUAUCCCCUUAUUUCCAAGUCCUUAGUCUCGGUCGACAUUGUUUUCCUUGCUCUCAUAUUUGAUACGAGACUUGUUGCCUUGUUUGCUCUUCGACCGAGCUAGUGAUUAGGAAUAGGGUCUAGCAACGGGCUAUAUCUAUGUUUGGGAGCAUUCUGGAGGUGGUCGACAUAUUGAUGUUGAUUGGAGUCCGAACUUUGAAGACUUGUAUAGCCCAGAGCUAGAUUUCAGGAUAUUUGUGUGGUCAGUGUGUUUUCUUUUAGUUUCAUAGGGUUGUCGGAUGCACCCACACCACUCACUGUGGACUUUAGUCGAUUACUGAGUGCUGAGAGAUGUGAGAGCUUUCACCAUAGGAAACUCCCUGGGAUGUCGAGGUAGUGCAUGUGUGGAGGUGAUGACCACCUUGCAUGGAAGCGCUCUGUCUCUUCGGAGGCGUGCAGAGGGUUGCGUACCGUUGGAGGGUAUGAUCGCUUCUGCUAGGGAUCCUUUAAAGUCCACCCAUACCCAUUUAGAGCCACCUUGACCUUGUAGGUUGAGCCGUAGAUCCUUCGAUUAGGACUCCUUCCCUACACAUGGGUGCAUUUGAGGGCCUUCAGAGCCUCUUUAGUUACAGUUCGGAUCCAGUAUUCCCUCUUUUUAGUCUCCAGUUGAGAGUGCUCGGAGAUCGGUAUGAGUUUGAGUAUCGGUUGGAUCACCUUUCGUCUGGUCGCCUUAGUUUGCGUUUUUCACUUGACGAGUUUNNNNNNNNNNNNNNNNNNNNNNNNNNNNNNNNNNNNNNNNNNNNNNNNNNNNNNNNNNNNNNNNNNNNNNNNNNNNNNNNNNNNNNNNNNNNNNNNNNNNAUUAUAUGACUUCCCUAUCCUCGGUUUUUUCUAGCUUUACACAUCCCUCUCUGAUUUGACCAGGUAGAGUAUGAGGAGUUUGAGCCUAGGGUUGAUCUCGCAUGACGAUGGUUGGCUUAUGAUCUUUGGGUGGCUUACGAUGUGAGGAUUGGUCGAUUGCUUGAUGAGACUAUCACUUAUUUUGCCGUGAGUAUAGAGAUUGAUAUUGUAUGAUGAGAGUUGGCUUGUGAUGGGAAGUAUUGCUUGAUGAGAUCACCGUUUACUUCGCCUGAUGAGUACGGUUGAUACAUGAUUCUAGAGAGAAGUUCAGACCCAACUGGAGCGGACCUUAUUCCAUCAGGGAGCUGACCCCAGAAGGCGCUGCAUGGUUGAUGGAUUUAGAUGGAAACAGAUUCUUAGAGCCGACUAAUGUAGAUCAGCUGAAGAGGUACUAUGUUUGAGACCAUGGUCGCAGGAUGGGUGGCCCUCAUUUCGGUUAGCCAUAUACCUUGUUAUUCCAUUUUGAUACAGAGUCCGUUGCUAGCCCCUUGAGCCUCGCAUACGCAUUGUAGCCUUUAUUUCUUAUGGCCUUGCUCACAUUUUCACACUGGGAUAGGGGCCCUUUAAUGUAUGCAUGCAUUGUUUGGGGGUCUCAUGAGCCUUGGACCUAGGAGCACGUUUUUCUCAUUAUCUUUUCCUAUCACUACACAUCAUUUCCACCAUCUAUCUCACAGACAUUGGUUUAGAGAUUCUUAGUUUGAGAAGGUCAUUUCGUCAGAGAGAGUUUGUUACCUUAGCACUUGGGAGUGUGUCCGUUUGUUAUUGAUAUCAUCUUUGGGGUUCAUUUGUUCAUGUCCAGGGUACGCGUAUUUGUAUAUAUGUAAAAAAAAAGAAAAAAAAAAAAAAAGAAAAAAGAAAAAUAAUAAUAAUAAUAAGCGCAUGUGUGUAUGCGCAUAGUGUUCUCGAUCAUUGAGUAUGUAUAUUGAUGUUUGGGGUUCAUUUUUAUCGAGUAUGUUUGUUAUUGAGAGUUCGUAUGUGAGCUCUCUGUGAUCCCAUGUUAUUUGUAUUGCUUUGUCAUAUCUAUUUGUGAGAGAGAUGAGUGACCUUCUCCUAAGGACUCCGAGUCAUUGUCCUUUCCAUCAUUAUAUUCAUUAUUGAUGUGACUUCACUUCAUGAUUGAUCUGAGUUGAUCACCAUCUUUCUUCACAUAUUCAUUGUUUCGCUGUCGUUUUUNNNNNNNNNNNNNNNNNNNNNNNNNNNNNNNNNNNNNNNNNNNNNNNNNNNNNNNNNNNNNNNNNNNNNNNNNNNNNNNNNNNNNNNNNNNNNNNNNNNNNNNNNNNNNNNNNNNNNNNNNNNNNNNNNNNNNNNNNNNNNNNNNNNNNNNNNNNNNNNNNNNNNNNNNNNNNNNNNNNNNNNNNNNNNNNNNNNNNNNNNNNNNNNNNNNNNNNNNNNNNNNNNNNNNNNNNNNNNNNNNNNNNNNNNNNNNNNNNNNNNNNNNNNNNNNNNNNNNNNNNNNNNNNNNNNNNNNNNNNNNNNNNNNNNNNNNNNNNNNNNNNNNNNNNNNNNNNNNNNNNNNNNNNNNNNNNNNNNNNNNNNNNNNNNNNNNNNNNNNNNNNNNNNNNNNNNNNNNNNNNNNNNNNNNNNNNNNNNNNNNGUUACGUCCCGUGUCUUAAGACCACCCUGAGACCGUGGGAUCAGAUGUCGUCUUUGACAGCCUCUACUUGGACAGGUGAUUGAGAUCUGGUUGACAUUUAGAUAUCGUCAUGCUUCUUCUUCUGGGAGUCACCUCUUUAAUGUGUAGGACUAAUUCAAUUGUGUUUGGAUUACCGGGAUCGUGAGUUUGAUGAUGAUUGACUUGGUGUCAUCUGAUUUUUGACCUGUCGUACCUUUGGUGCCACACUGGGGGCAUAUCCCACUUCAUUUGGAGGUUUAUGGAUCGUCACAGAUUUUGCACGAUUCGUUAUCACUUACUAGAUGCUCAUUGAGACGUGGACAUGAUCGUUACCUUACGGAGCCCUCGAGAUCCCUCUAGCUAGUUCCGCACUUCUUGACGCUUGGAUGCCAUCAUGCCUCUCCAUCUGGGAGGUCAUCUUGGAUAUAUGUGCAUGAUUCAGUUAUGGAUUCGGAUGACCAGUAUCGCAUGAUCGAUGAUAAAUGAUUUCAUGUCGCUCGAUUUCUGACCUAUCAUACGUUCAAUGCCCAUAUUGGGGCAUAUUUUCGUUUCGAUUGAGAUUUACGGAUUUUCAUGGAGUUGCAUGCUCAUCUCCACUUACGAGAUACACAUUGACACGAUGUUUCCUCCGUGGAGCCUCUCGGGAGUUACCCAGUUAGGCCUGCACUUCGCGACGCUUCAAUGUCAUCAUGUUUUCCUUCCGGGAAACGCCCCUUUGAUCUAUGGGUCUGAUUCAGUUGUACACGUGGAUGACUUGGAUCGCGCAUUCGAUGACGAGUGAUCUGAGCUCAUCUGGUUCUUCUGACCUAUCACACAUUGUGUUUGAUAGCUCUUAUGUGAGCGACACUUGGGAUGGAUUCGAGAGCAUUCUGAUUGUGAUGGACCAGGAGUUAUGGUAUGACCCUACACUGGGGCAUAGCCAUCUCAGGGAGUUUUAUUAUCGGAUGACCAUUAUGUCGAGGCAUACUCUUCUCAGUCGAUGACGAAUUUUUGAGCCAUGUCUCUUCCUUGGAGGAUAUCAGAUGUCCUUUUUCACAUUGGAGCAUGAGACGUGAUUGGCGCGUUUCAUCCGGUGUACUUUACACAGGGGCGUACCCCUUUCGGUCCAUGAUGGUUUUUAGGCAUAGUUGUUCCUUGGAGGCGAUUAGAUUCAUUUCACAUUGGAGUACGGGAUAUGAUUAGUUGAUUUCUUUGAUGUGAUUACAGGAGCGUAGCCUUCUCAUCAUUGUUGACAGAUUUUUCAGAUGAUUGGAUCAGGACACAGACACUUAUGAGAGCAUGUAGUGGGGUUUAGUCAUUUCAGGGUUUGCCCUAUACUGGGGCAUAACCCUUUCAUUGGCAGUUGAUCUUAGAGAUAUCAGUUCACAUUGGGACAUGCUAUUUCUUUAGAAGAGGUCAGAUGCUUUCUUCAGAUUACCACGAUGACUUUGAGGAGCGGAGAUUCAUUUCGAUCAGAUGAUGUAUGAUUGGUUGUACUCUUCUCAUGGAUGUUGGUUUUGGAGAUGCUUACAGGGGGCAUAGCCCACUCGUCUUGAUGAUGAUUUUGCGAGAUGACAGUUUAUACCAGACGCAUACUUUUCAGAGAUUAUCUUGUACUGAGAGCUUAUCCAUUUCGAGAUGAUGCAUUCACACUGGGGCAUACCCACCUUGCUGAUUUUGACAUUGAGAUUCCACUUCCUGUUUAUGAUUGUUGCUUUCGAUGGAUCAUAGAGUUGUUGGCACCCUGGGUUCAAUCUUCUCGACGUACUUGGUCCGACUUGGGUACCCACUUUCCUUUGUUACACACCUAUACAUCCUACAUUGGACUCUGUUAUACCUGCACUCAUCUUAUCAGAGCCUUACAUCUUUUGAGCUCACAUAUUUCACCAUCUUACAUGACUUUAUCCUUUUGUCUUGAUCAGAGGAAGAUAUGGNNNNNNNNNNNNNNNNNNNNNNNNNNNNNNNNNNNNNNNNNNNNNNNNNNNNNNNNNNNNNNNNNNNNNNNNNNNNNNNNNNNNNNNNNNNNNNNNNNNNUGUCUUGAUCAGAGGAAGAUAUGGACUAGUCUUGAGCUUUCUAGUUGAGUUGUCACACACCUUUGGACAUUAGAUUCAACAUCUUCCGUGACGGUAGGGCUUGUUAGAUUGUUGAUAUAUUUAUGAUGAUGUUCUCAUAUUGAUAGUUGACACGUCAUGUCUUGAUUUGCUUACAUUUCAGGCUUAGAGUCUUGAUCAGCAUUUGUUUGAUCCAUUAUUUUGGUUUUGCUUUGUCAGCAUAGUUUUGGUGAUGUUUGGUCUUGUUUUAGCAUUUGUUCAUUGAGGCUAUGUAUAUCUUGUCCAUUGCACCAUCGUUGAGCAUAUCCCGGAGUGUCUUGUAUGGUGAGGUUUUGUGUCUUAUGUUAGUUACUAUCCUACACUGGGGCAUACCCCCAUCCUUGAGUUCAUCGGAUCUUUUGUGGACUCUCUCACUGCUCGAUCUAUUUCUUGAUCUUUAUGGGUCAUCACACUGGGGCAUACCCCCUAUCCUUGAGUUUAUCAGGUCUUUUGUGUACUUUCUCACUGCUCGAUCUAUUUCUUGAUCUUUGUGAGUCAUCAUACCGGGGCAUACCCCCUUUUAGCGUUUUUCCUACUGGGUCAUACACCCCUCUCUUUGGGUUUGCCAUGUCUCGUGCUGAUUUCAUGAUUGACAGACGCAUUUGUCGAUCUUUGCGAGUUAUCACCUAGGGCAUCCCCCUACCGUCAGUUUGUUUAGGGCAUUCCCUUAUUGUCACCUUGUUUAGGGCAUCUCCCUACUGUCAUUUCGUUUGGGGCAUCCUCCCACUGUCAUUUACGUUUGGGGCAUCCCCCACUGUCAUUUACAUUUGGGGCAUCCCCCCACUGUCAUUUCGUUUGGGGCAUCCCCCCACUGUCAUUCUCGUUUUGGGGCAUCCCGUCACUGUCAUUUUUCUUUUGGGGCAUCCCCUCACUGUCAUUUACGUUUGGGGCAUCCCCCACUGUCAUUUCGUUUAGGGCAUCCCAUUAUUUUCAUCUUGUUUAGGGCUUUCCCCUGCCGUCAGUUUGCUUAGGGCAUCCCCCUUUUGUUUUAGAUUUAUCACCACCGUAGGUCUUCACCUAUGGGCCUUCUAGUUUAGUGUUUAGAGUUAGCUUUUUGGUUUGGCUUCCAGAGCUAUUAUUUUUCUCAGUUUAGCAUUUAGAGUUAGUUUUUUGGUUUGGCUUCCAGAGCCAUUGACCUUCUAGUUUAGUGUUUAGAAUUAGCUUUUUGGUCUGGUUUACAGAGCUAUUAUUUUUCUCAGUUUAGCAUUUAGAGUUAACUUUUUGGUUUGGCUUCCAAAGCUAUUAUUAUUAUUAUUAUUAUUUUUCUAGUUUAGUGUUUAGAGUUAGUUUUUUUGGUUUGGCUUCUAGAGCCAUUAUUCUUCUAGUUUAGUGUUUAGAGUUAGCUUUUUGGUUUGGCUUUCAGAACUAUUAUUUUUCUCAGUUUUGCAUUUAGAGUUAGCUUUUUGGUUUGGCUUCUAGAGCCAUUAUUCUUCUAGUUUAGUGUUUAGAGUUAGCUUUUUGAUUUGGCUUCUAGAGCUAUUAUUUUCUUAGUAUCAGUGUUCAGAGUCAUCCUCGUCGCUUUUUUAGCUUCGGCGUUCAGAGCCAUCACUUCUUAGUAUCGGCGUUCAGAGCCCAUACUGGGGGAUAUUUUCCGUUUCAGAUGAGAUUUACGGACUUUCAUGGAGGUCACAUGUGCGACAAUGGAUGAUUUCGUGACAUUUGUUCUUCGGACCUGUUGCGCACCUGAUGCCAUACUGGGGCAUAUUCCGUUUCGGAGGAUCUUUAUGGACCUUCGCAGAGGUCACAUGUUCGAGGAUAGAUGAUUCCAUGCUAUCUGAUCUCCGACCUAUCAUACAUUUCGAUGCCAUAUAGGGGCAUAUUUCGGUUCGGAUGAGAUUUACAGAAUCGUGAGGGAGUCGCGUGCUUAUCCUUAUUUGGCGAGAUGUAUGCAGAGAUGAUGUUAUAUUCGCUAUCCUCACGAUGAUUCCUUAGUGGAGCCUAUCGAGAGCCAUCUAGCCAGGCAUGGAUGACUUGAGCUCAUCUGAUUUUUCUCGAUGCCACACUAGGGCAUAUUCCCCAUCUUGAUCGAGAUUUGUAGAUUCCCCACUGAUUUGCAUGACCACCCUCAGUUAUGAGAUACACGUCAGGUUGAUGAUUCGAUUCCAUUUUAUCCUGAUACUUCGAGGAGCCUCUUUUGAGUCUUUCAGCCAGAUCUUACUCUCUGAUACAGUCGCGGUUCUUGGACGGAGUUAUGUCGAGUGCCUGGAUCCCCACGUCACCAUAUCAGUGGGGUACAUAUCAGAUCUUUUACGCAUCCCCAUGGUGUUAUUCUCGGGGUUAUCAGGACGGAUCGGGUACAUCUAAUGUCAUACUAGGGCAUAUUUCCCUCCUUUAGCCAUGGAGGCGAUCGUUCUCUCACAGACCCGUUAUAGCUUUCGUCACUCAGCCGAGAGAUAUUGUGUUCGUCUCAUUGACCAUUAUUCCUGAGCUCUUCAUCGAGAUAAGCUCUCAGUGGAGCGUUGAUCGAGACUCGUAGAGUCCCUUUCAGCCAUCUCUAGCGGUUUGAGAUUUGCAGCGGCAUGCCACACUAGGACAUAUUUCCCCCUCAUUGUUUCCUUACGGUCUGGUGUUCAGGGCCGCUGUUCAUUCACGGUUUACGACAUUCAGAGUUAUCAUGUCACACUUUCAGUUCGGCGUUUAGAGCCACUUCUCUAGUUCUUGUUGUUCAGAGUCAUCAUCAUCACUUUUUAGUUUCGGUGUUCCGAGCCAUCAUUGUCGCUUUUCAGUUCGACGUUCAGAGCCAUCAUCGGUUUUCAGAUCGACAUUCAGAGUCGCAUCCUCAGUUUCGGCGUUCAGAGCCAUCAUCACUUUUAGGUUUCGGCAUUUAGAUCCAUCACCGUGUUUUCAGUUCGACGUUCAGAGCCAUCAUCACUUUUUAGUUUCGGCGUUCAGAGCCAUCACCGCGUUUUCAGUUCGGCGUUCAGAGCCAUCAUCACUUUUUAGUUUCGGCGUUCAGAGCCAUCACCGUGUUUUCAGUACGGCGUUCAGAGUCAUCAUCACUUUUUAGUUUCGACGUUCAGAGCCAUCACUGUGUUUUCAGUUCGGCGUUCAAAGCUAUCAUCGGUUUUCAGAUCGACAUUCAGAGUCGCAUCCUCGGUUUCGACGUUCAGAGUCGUUAUCACUUUUCAGUUUGACGUUCAGAGUCAUCAUCAUCACUUUUUAAUUUCGGCGUUCAGAGCCAUCAUUGUCACUUUUCAGUUCGGCGUUCAAAGCCAUCAUCGAUUUUCAGAUCGACAUUCAGAGUCGCAUCCUCAGUUUUGACGUUCAGAGCCAUCAUCACAUCUUCGUUGACGUUCAGAGCCAUCGUUAUCACUUCUCAGUAUCAGUGUUCAGUGCCAUCGAUUGCCGGUUUUGGCGUUCAGAGUCAUCAUCACAUCUUCAUUCGGCAUUCAAAGCCAUUAUCACUCCUCAGUUUGAUGUUCAGAGUUGUAUUCUCAGUUUCGGCUUUCAAAGCCAUCAUCAUCACUUCUUAGUUUGACGUUCAGAGUUGCAUUUCCGGUUUCGGCGUUCAGAGCCAUCACCGCAUCUUCGUUUGGUAUUCAAAGCCAUCCUCAUCACAUUUUCAGUCUCGGCGUUCAGAGCCAUUGUCACUCCUCAGUUUGACGUUCAGAGUCGCAUUCCUGGUUUCGGCGUUCAGAGCUAUCAUUAUCAUUUCUCAGUUUCGGCGUUCAGAGUCAUCGUCACUCCUCAAUUUGAUGUUUAGAGUCGCAUUCCUGGUUUCGGCGUUCAGAGCCAUCAUUAUCGUUUCUCAGUUUCGGCGUUCAGAGCCAUUAUUACUCCUCAGUUCGACAUUCAGAGUCGUAUUCUCGUUCGGCGUUCAGAGCCAUUAUUACUCCUCAGUUUGACAUUCAGAGUCGUAUUCUCGUUCGGCGUUCGGAGCCAUUACAUCAUUCAUUCCGACGUUCGGGGCCAUGUUUUGCUUCGUUUGGUGUUCAGGGCUAUUGUCCGCUUCGGUUCGGAGUUCAGAGCCAUUGCAUAUUAUUCGUUCGGCGUUCAGAGCCAUCAUUAUCACUUCUCAGUAUCGGUGUUCAGAGUCAUCCUCAUCACAUUCCCGAUUUCGGUGUCCAGAGCCACCAUCACAUCUUCGUUCGACGUUCAAAGCCAUCACUCAUCGGUAUCAGUGUCCAGAGCUAUACUCGUCGUAUUUUCAGUUUUGACAUUCAGAGCCAUCAUUACUACUCCUCAGUUUGAUGUUCAGAGUCGUAUUCUCGUUUGGCAUUCGGAGCCAUGUUUUGCUUCGUUUGGCGUUCAGAGCCACUGCAUAUCAUUUGUUUCGACGUUCGGAGCCACACCUUCAUUCUGUGUUCAGGGCCAUUAUCUGUUUAUUAUUAUUAUUAUUAUUAUUAUUAUCAUUAUUAUUAUUUAAUGUUCUGAGUUGCGAUUUUAGUUCGACGCUUAGAGUCUUCAUGUUUAUCUUUUGUUCGAUUCAUCACCAUUUUCCUUCUUUCUGGCGUUCAGAGCCAUUGGACACGCCCUUUCAGACCUUUUGAUUUUCUUAGUUUUGACGUUCAGAGCCGCUGUUCCAUUCGAUGUUUGGCGCCCCUACCACAUUUUUCUUUUAGUUUGGUGUUUAGAGCCGUUUUUCAUACCCGUUCAGGCAUUUUGAGUCACCACCUUUCUUAGUUUUGACGUUUAGAACAAUUGUCCUGUUUAGCAUUCAGUGUCACCGUCAUUCUCUAGUUUAGCGUUCAGAGCCAUUGUAUAUAUUCAUUCGAGGACCUUGAGUCACCAUCUUUCUGUGUUUGACGUUCAGGGUCAUUUCUCCCCGACUGUAUCGUUUAGAGCCAUAGUGUCGACGUUCAUGUUCACCAGCAUUACACAUGUUGCCUUCAGGGGUUUGCAUCUAUCCUUGUUUUCCUCAUCGUGUCACCCUGUGCUUAUCGCUUAUUCGUCAUUGCUCUUCCAGAUUUCUCUUUUCAUUGCUCAUGAUGUAGUCCUUUGAGUUUACGACACAUACUUCGGUCAUGUCGUUGGGCACCCUACACUUGGCACUUUCAUAUAGUUCCCUUGGGGCAAUCUUCUCGGGGCACUUUCUUUAUGGUAUUCCAGAGUGGUUCGACCGUUACCCAUUUUUAAUAUGGUUUUUCGAGUCACUUAUAGAGACGUCUUAGAGAGAGUCUAAAUCCUUUGGUAUGGCUUCAGAGUCAUUUUGAAGCAUCCCUUUUCUUUUAGGGUUAGAGUCUUUAUGUUCGUCUGUUGGCCAGAGUAAGUCCAUGUUUCCCUGGUGUCCCUGUGGGGGUCUCUUUGGUUCUUCGGUAGAGUUCACUUCAUUCCACUCAUUAUUCACACUUUCUUUUCACUCUAGUGUUCAUAUUCCUUACAUUUGUAAACUCUACCGAAGAGGGGCAUAUUUGUAGACCCCCUCAGCUAGGGGCAUGGGCGGGGGUUUUUAUUUUUAUUCAUUUUUUCUUCUUCUUCUUUUCGGCUUUUUUUAUCCACCCGAGGCCGGCUGGAAGUGAAAGGAGGGAGAAGGAGCUAUCCUUAGGCGGCUGUAGGGAGCAGGGAACAGGGGAGCAGGUGCUAGAUUUCCGGAUCUGAGGAAAAAGAAAAGAAAGGGUGAGGGAGAGAGAGGCAAGGGGGGAGCGUCUUCUGUAGAGAGAGUGUGCUUUUCAGAGGGUGUUUUUUUGCUGCUGGUUGGCCGGAGAUAUUUUUGAAGAAGAGUUUCUAGGCUGGUGACAAGGAGAGGCUGCCAGGAGAGGAAAAAAAGGUUUUUUUCUCUACAGUGGACCUGAAGCUAGGGGGAAAGCUCGGAGAUGAGGAGUUUUUGGAGGGGAUUCGCAGUAGAGCUGGAGGAAAAGAAGAGAACAGUGCCAGGUGAGAUUGAUGUAAGUGACAUGUUCAUCUGGAUUCAUAUUGUUUUUUUUUUCUCUUUCGAGUUUUUGGAUUGCUCUGCAUUGCUCGUCUUGUUGAUUUCUGAAUUUUUUUUUUUUUCAUUUCGUUUCCAUGCAAACUCAUUCUUUUUCAUCCCCCUGCAAAGCUUUAAUGCUCAUGUGCAUUGCUACCCUAUCAUGCAAGCCAUUCCCUCACCCUCUUCCUCCAUUCCGACGUCUUCCGCUCCGUCGACCAAUGCUCCGAAAGUCGCCUUCGGCGCGCCCAGGUGGUGGCGGCUAUUGCUAUUACUGCCGCAACCACCCUCCAAAUCUGCUAUGGGUCCAGGUCUCAUUCAGACGGCGACGACAGCGGCGCCGAAGCUCCCGCCGGUGCUGUCGUCAAUGGGGAUGCGGAGGUGGAGAAAGUGAAGCACAAGAAGCCCGAGGCUUCUCUUGGCGAUCCUCGGGUGGAAAAGCUAUGGGUGGCAGCAAUGUUCAGGAAGCGUUUAUGGUUGCUAUUGGGCUUGAGGGUGAUGAUUUUUGCUAAGUGGGCUUGGGCUUGAUGAAGAUGGAGCUUAUUAGUGGGCUUAAGCUUAUGGAUUGGGCUUAUGAUGGAGGUGAAGCCCAAAGCCCUUUUUAAUUCCUAUUAUUAUCAUUAUUUUUAAUUCCUAUUAUUAUUAUUAUUAUUAGCGGAUAUUAUUAUUAUUAUUAUUAACGGAUAUUAUUAUUAUUAUUAUUAUUAUUGCUAUUACUAUUAUUAUUAUUAUUAUUAUUAUUAUUAUUAAUAAUUAUUAUUAUUAUUAUUAUCACUAUUAUUAUUAUUGUUAACAUUGUCAUUAUUAUUAUUAAUUCAACUUUCAAAAUCUUAUUAUUGUUAUUAUUAUCAAUUCACACUUUCAUAAUCUUAUUAUUAUUAUUAUCAUUAAUUCAACUUUUAAAAUAUCAUUAUUAUUAUUAUUAUUAUUAUUAUUAUUAUUAUUAUUGCUAUUACUAUUAUUAUUAUUAUUAUUAUUAUUAUUAUUAUUAUUAUUAUUAUUACUAUUAUUAUUAUUAUUAUUAUUAUUAUUACUAUUAUUAUUAUUGUUAACAUUGUCAUUAUUAUUAUUAAUUCAAUUUUCCAAAUCAUUAUAUUAUUAAUAUUAAUUCAAGCUUUUAAAAUCUUAUUAUUAUUAUUAUUAUUAUUAUUAUUAUUAUUAAUUCAACUUUCAAAAUCUUGUUAUUGUUAUUAUUAUCAAUUCACACUUUCAUAAUCUUAUUAUUAUUAUUAUCAUUAAUUCAACUUUUAAAACAUCAUUAUUAUUAUUAUUAUUAUUAUUAUUAUUAUUAAUUCAACUUUUAAAAUCUUAUUAUUGUUAUUAAUUCAACUUUUAAAAUAUUAUUAUUAUUAUUAUUAUUAAUUCAAAUUUUAAAAUAUUAUCAUUAUUAUUAUUAUUAUUAAUUCAACUUUCAAAACCUUAUUAUUAUUAUUAUUAUUUCAAAAUCUUAUUAUUAUUAUUAUUAUUAUGAUUAUUAUUAUUAUUAUUAUGAUUAUUAUUAUUAUUAUUAAUUCAAUUUUUAAAAUAUUAUUAUUAUUAUUAUUAAUUCAACUUUCAAAAUCUUGUUAUCAUUAUUAUUAUUAUUAUUAUUUCAAAACCUCAUUGUUAUUGUUAUUAUUAUUAUUAUUAUACUAUCUCUCAGUUCAAUUUCCUAAUAUUAUUAUUAUCAUUAUUAUUAUUGUUAUUAUUAAAAAUCUAUAUCCUCGCAAUUUAAUUUCCUAAGGUUCAUUUCUUAUUAUUAUUAUUAUUAGUAUUAUUAAAGAUCUAUAUUCUCGCAGUUCAAUUUCCUAAGGUUCACUCAUUAUUAUUAUUAUUACAAAUUCAACUUUCAAAACCCAUAUUCUCGCAAAUCAAUUUCCUAAAGUUCAUUUCUCAUCUUCUUUGGCAAAUUUCAUUUUAAUUACCGGAGCUCUAAUAUUUCAAAUUUAAUUCCCAAUACUCCAAUUUUCAAGUAAGCUCCAAUAAUCCAGUUUUCACUCGAAUAGUUUUUAAUCACAUUUCAGUUCCUAAAUAAUCUUCUGAUCUUCUUGAUUCUGCAUAAGCAAUAGUGAUUCCUUCAUAAUUCUAAAACACGGGAUUUGUGGGAUUAGCUCAUGAACAAUAAAUCGGGCUUUGUUGGGGGCCCUAUGUUUGACCCCUUUUGAUUGUCAAUUAUCGUGCUUACUGUAUUUUGCUUGAGCUUCGUUUUGCACUCCGAUAUGUAUGAGCCAUGUUUUGUAUUCAUUAAUUGUGCACUAAUCCCGUUUCUUGAUAGCGCGUUGUGGCUCGUGGCCGAGGUACGCAUCCACUCCCUUUCUAGUCAAUCUCUAUACGUAUUCUGGUUCUCGUUUGUGCAUGAUUGACGUGAGUGUUCAUUGACUUUCUUAUUCGAUUGCCACAUCAGCUUCCUUUUAUUAGUAGAGACCCGACUUUAGGGACUUAGAGGGGUGUUAUGGUCUUCACCGUACAUUCCCGAUAAGUAACUUGACCCCCGAACUCGAUCCGGUUUUUCACAGACCACCUUUUCCAAAACAAGGAGUCACACUUAGGGUUUUUCUUUCUUAUUUUGUUUACCCUUUAAAAAUAAAACAAAAAUAAGUGGCGACUCCAAGUCAAUUUUUCUUAAUCAAUAAAGAUCAAUUUUUCGAAAUCAAAAUCGAGCUCGCCAUCGAGUGGAAAACGCAUUGAGCCGAAAUGUGGGGUCCACACUACCCUAUCAGGUAACUCUCCCAAAAUUAUAUACACAAGAUUCCUUGACGUGAAAUAGUAGGCAUUUGAUGGCGACAUUUGGCAAUUCCCUUUCCAUUGCCAAACUUCGGCAGCAGUGUUUCCGAAACGUGCAUGGUGGUGGUAGACGAGUGCUUGAUGGAGGAAAUUUGGAGGUUCCUGCCUUCCAGGUUGUGGAGCUCAUUUCAGCAUAUGGGCUUGCACCGAUUUCUAGAUCAAGGUCUCAUCUGACGGUCAAGUUCAAACACAGAAAAGAAAAGAACAUAGAAGAGAGGUUUUGGGAGGGUUAGUCACCUCUUUUCCAAUAAAAGAUCUAAAGCCACUAAUAAAAAAACCAACCCACUUCAUAAUUUCGAACAUAAAAGAUUGCCUUCUUACUUAAGAUUUUGAAAAUUGAGGUUACCGUAUGAUUGUACAUGAAAAAAAAAAACGAUGUUCAUAAAUAUCCUUUGUAACAAAAUAAUAAGUGAUUUAUUUUUUAAAAUAAAUAAAUAAAUAAAUAAUCAAUUUUAUAAAUAAAUAUCUAGUUUCCAAUAAAUCAAAAGUUCUGCAAAGCGUUACAUAAUAUACAUAGAGAGGUGUGGUGAAGAGACGCUUGGCUUACUGAUACAAAGCUAUUGAGCAGGCUAAUAGUGCUAAAGCAAACGAUUUGUACGUGACAGAGGUUGGCAUGGCGCCCUUGUCCUUGUGGAAGAAAAGCCCUUGGUAUACAGGCAGGUUGAUGAGAACAACGACCCCACAUAAGAUACCCUGCAGUGCUAAUGACUCCAAAGCUUUGAUUUGAAUACCCACAAACACCCUCUUUACACAACAAACAAAACUGAACAGAUUGAGCAUUGCUAGUGUGGCUAUAAUGGUAAACAUUGGUGAAGGAGAGCCGAACUCCAUAACUUCUUGCUCGUAUCUUCGAGACACAUCUUCAUCAGACACCUUUGCAGUGACUGCAAAAGUGGUCUCAGCAAACCCUAGUAGCUUCAAGAUUGUAUCAAGGAGGACAAAGAAAUAGGAAGUUGUCCUUCUCAACGCCCAUAUCCUCUAUUCAUUCCACCAACCUUGGGUUGUGCCACCAAACCAAAGAAACUCGCCUAAGCUGUAUGCAUACUUGGCAAUGAUGACAUAGGCAAAGGGCAGUGCCCACAGGCUUGAUAUCUGAAAGGGGUAUAAUUCUUAAUAAUAAUGAUGAGUUUGGGAUUAAUUUGCUUUAGUAAUGUUAAAUUCAUUCCUCUGGAAACAAGGAGAUGCCUCCAAGUAGACAGAGGGAUGGGACAUCGACAUAGUAUAGUGUAGGCAAGCAGUUUGGAGCCCAGAGCAGCUAAGGACAAUAUGAGAAUUGAAGCUCUAGAGGAAUCCUUUUAUGCUCAUAUAGGAGGGGGCAGUACCUUGAGAGAAAGAUCUGGAAGUUGCCUUCAGACCAUCUCUUGUGUUGUAUUAAUGACUGCAAUAGUGUUGUAGGGGCAACACCUACAAAGCCUUUCCUUUCUGGGCUGAAACUGAUGGAUUUCCAACCUCUGCAUUGUAUUGAUAAUCCUGUAAUUAUAUCUUCCACUAAACUACCAUACUUCAAACCCAUCUGCAAGUCAACAUAAGCAUGAAGUUUCUUACUCGAAGAAAGAAGAAAAAGGAAAAAAGUAAAACGAUGGCAUUGAUGAGACAAAUAGAGGAACCUCUUUUCCCCAUUGGGUGUUCUCUACAUAGCUGUUGAAUUUUUAAUUUUGCCUUAGUAUCGGCUGGAAUUUGAAUUUUAAAGUUAGAUAUUGCAACUGGAGUCUUGCACAAAAUUUGCACAUCCAAAUAUUUUCUUGUUUUUAUUUGAUCAAGAUUUGGUUUCUAUUUUAUAGGAAGUAGUUGUUCAUCAUCUAGUAGUUUGAUUUUCUACUAUUCUAAUGUCAUUUCAGUUACAAGCUCAUAAAUAAAUUCAACACUCUUCAUCAAUAAAAAGUAUGUUCCAAUAGCCUAAAAAUAAAUAUUCUGCAUAAGUGUUUAAUCUAAGAUCAUCAUUUUGGUAUCAGAGCAGAAAUUAUCUUGAGGGGCCAGUGAGUUGAGUGAGCUAGAAGUUAUCUUGAGGGGUUAGUGAGUUGAGUGAGCCUGAAUACCUUGAGAGUGCCUAAACUCCUAUAGACCCUUGAGGUGAGUGAACCCAAAACACCAUGAGUGAACCCAAAUAACUUCUAAAAUCAUCUAGCAAUAGAGAAGUCAAGUCUCACAACUGCACCAUCAAUUCUUGAUGGAGACAAUUAUGAAACUUGGGUUGUUAGAAUGAUAGUUCAUUUACAAGCACUUGAUGUUUGGGAAGCAGUGAAAGAAAAUUAUGAAGUUCCUCUCUUGGGAGCCAAUCCAACUGUGGCUCAAAUGAAGUUGCAUAAAGAAAGAAAGACAAGAAAGACUAAAGCGAAGGCUUGCUUGUUUGCUGCAGUUUCACCAUCAAUUCUCAUCAAAAUCAUGAAAAUUGAUUUAGUUGCAAAAAUUUGGGAGUAUCUCAAGGAGGAAUACAAAGGAGAUGAAAUAAUCAAUAACAUGCAGGUGAUGAACUUGAUUCGAGAAUUUGAAAUAAAGAAAAUGAGGGAGUCUGAUGCUGUUAAAGACUAUGCUACACAACUUCUUUCACUAGCAUACAAAGUUAGGUUGCUUGGAAAAGAAUUUUCCAAUGAGAAGAUUGUUCAAAAGAUAUUGGUUACACUUCCUGAGAAAUAUGAAGUUACAAUUUCCUCUUUGGAGAAUUCAAAGUGAUAAAACAAAGGCUAUGAAUAAUUAAGGAAAAUACCCAAAAUGGGGGGUGAAUUGUAUUUUUUCAAAAUCUUUUUCCACACAAUAAUAUAUGCACAAAAUAAAUAAAGGAAAGAGAUAAAGUUAGAGAAUUCAAACUCGGGUUUAUAGUGAUUCGGCACUUCUUUGCCUACGUCCACUCUCCUCAAUCUCCUAACCGAGUGAGGGGUCCACUAACUUGAAGCUUCAAUCAAGCUUUCAAUCUUCUUACACUUGGAUUCCGGCUCUAAUGGGCUCUUACACAAUCUCUUCAAGAUUUGAACCACUUAAAGGCUUUCACACUCAGUUUACACAAAGAUGAAACUCUCAACCUAGCUUAAGGAUGACUCAAGUACAAGAGAAAGCUAGGAUGCUUUACAAGAGUGCACUAAGAAUAUGCAAGUGAUGGUUCAAUGCACUAAGAAAGAAAUGAGAGCUUUUUGAUGAAGAAUAGGUAGGUAGACAAUUGAUUGUAAAGGUUCUCUUAGUCAUAAAUGAAGUGGAGCUCUCAAUUUAUAGGUUUCUAAGCUCGGAAGACAAAAACAACAGAAAGUAGCCUCGACCGGACGAGCAAAGGGUCGACCGGUUCACUAGCCGUUAGAGCAUUUAAUGCAUGAUAGGUUACCGUUGCCUCAACCGGACCUCGACCGGUAAAGGAAUCACCUCGACCGGGAAAAGAAGGCUACUGGGAGAGAGAGAAGGUUUUUAACCUUCCUCGACCGGUCCUCAACUGGACGACCUAAAUCGAUCGACUGGUUCCUUAACCGGUUGACCGAUUGGCCUUAGCCUCGACCGGUUGAGCCUUUUGGCUCCGAAAACCUAUCAUUUUUUAUUUCUUUCUUUUCCAAUACUUAAGCAAGGUCUUUAGGUCAGUUAAUAUGCCAAUUUUGAAUCAAUUUGCCUAAGGUAUAUUUAAUAAAACUCGGGUUUUAAAGAAAAUCAAGUUUUAAAGAAUAAACCGAGUUUUCUAAGAUGCAUAAAAAGGUAUGAACAUCCUAAGUGCACUCAUGCUAUCAUCUUACAUUCAUUUCCUAUGAUCUCAAGUCUUCCAAGCGUCUCGAUCUUGUAUCCAUUUGGUCCUUUGAUGAAUUUUCGAGUUUACACCUGAGAUUCUUAAACGUUAAACCAAUUAGUUACUUAACCAUGGUUUGUUAUCAUCAAAACCCGAUUAGGAGAACCCUUGGGCUAACACAAAGGAUUUGUCAACUAUUAGCUUGAUAGAAUUAUUAUAUUCAUUGGAGGCUGUGGAACAAAUAAGACUCAUGAGACAAGGAGAUACUAUAGAAGGAGCAUUUCAAGCAAGAAUGCAAAAAAAUGCAGGCCAUAAAAAUGGAAAGAAGAACAAGAAGAAGAAGAACAAGCCAAACAACAACAACCAGAAAAAUGGAGUUUUUCCACCUUGUCCUCAUUGCAAGAAAACAAAUCAUUCUCCACAAAAAUGUUGGUGGAGACCAGAUGUGAAAUGCAACAAGUGUGGUAAACAAGGGCGUGUGGAGAGGAUUUUCAAAAAUCAACAACAGGAAGAAACUAGUGCAACAGUUGACCAAUGACUGGAGGAGCAAUUGUUUGCGAAAAUGUGUUUUGCUAAUAAAAACACCUCUAAAAGCUGGCUUAUGGAUAGUGGUUGUACAAACCACAUGACUAAUGAUCAAGAUCUUUUAAGAGAACUUGUUAGAACAACUAUUUCCAAAGUCAGAAUUGGAAAUGGUGAGUAUAUUCCAGUGAAGGGCAAAUGAAUGGUUGCUAUCGAAAGCCAAAUAAGUUUGAAACUCAUUUAUGAUGUUUUGUUUGUGCCUGACAUUGACCAAAACUUACUCAGUGUUGGACAACUUGUUGAGAAAGGAUUUAAAGUUUAUUUUGAAGAUAGGAAUUGCAUUAUCAAGGAUGCUGAAGGCAAAAAGGUGUUUAACAUAAAAAUGAAGGGCAAGAGCUUUGCCUUGAAUUUACUGAAAGAUGAGCAUGCUGCUUGUUUUGCAACAAGAUAGUACAACAAUGCUUUGGCACAGAAGGCUCGGGCACUUUCAUCAUGAUGUUGUGCUCUACAUGAAGAAAAAUCAAAUAGUUGAAGGACUUCUUGACUUAGAAAAAGAUCUUCCUAUAUGUGCUACUUGUCAAUUUGGGAAGCAAACUAAACUUCAUUUUCCAAAGAAAACAUCCUAGAGAGCAACCCAAAACUACAAUUGGUGCAUACUGAUGUUGGUGGACCUCAAAAGACGCCAUUCUUGAAAGGAAGCAUUGUUCACCAACUCACUGCACCAUAUAAUCCAUAACAAAAAGGAGUCGUGGAGAGGAAAAAUAGAACAAUUUUGGAGAUGACAAUAUGCCUUGUGCAUGAAAAAAAUCUGCCUAAAAUUUUUUGUGCUGAAGUUGCAAGUACAACAAUAUAUUUGUUGAACAGAUUGCCAACAAAAAUGUUAAAAAAGCAGACCCCUUUCAAAGCUUGGUUUGGUUAUCAACCUAAAGUAAUGAAAUUGAAAACAUUCGGUUACUUAUGUUUCUCUUUUGUUCCUAAGGUGAAAAUGGACAAGCUAGAAAAACAAUCAGAGAUGAGAAUUUUCGUUGGAUACAGUGACACUUCAAAGGCUUAUAGAAUUUACUUGCCACAAACUAAUAAAAUUGUGGUGAGUAGAGAUGUCAAGUUUUUGAAAACAAAGAAAUGAAGUUGGGAUGAAAAGAUGCAGCAGUAUAAUGAUGAAAAUGUUGAUGAGCUUCCAGUUAGAGGUACCCGAAAACUCUUUGAUAUUUACUGUUAUGUUGAUGCUACUGCUGCUGUAAAUCAAGUUUUAUGACUUAGGAAGUUGCUGACAGAUUUGGACAUGAAGCAAGAAAUGAGUACUCAAGUGUUUGUUGACAACCAAGCUGCUAUAUCUAUUGCCAAUGACCCAAUUUUUCAUGGCAAAACAAAGUACUUCAAGAUUAAACUAUACUUUCUAAGAGAGGUGCAGAAGGAAGGAGAUGCACAUAUAGUUUAUUGCAACAUGGAGAGUCAAAAUGUUGAUAUAUUCACUAAACCUCUACCUAAAGCAAGGUUUGAGUUUCUACGUGGAAGACUUGGAGUUUGCAUCUACUAAGUCAAGGAGGAGUGUUGAAUUUUGAAUUUUGCCUUAGUAUCUGCUAGAAUUUGAAUUUUGAAGUUAAAUAUUGCAGCUGGAGUCUUGCACAAAAUCUGUAACAUCCAAAUAUUUUCUUGUUUUUAUUUGGUCAAGAUUUGGUUUCUAUUUUAUAGGAAGUAGUUGUUCAUCAUCUAGUAGCUUGAUUUUAUGCUAUUCUAAUGUCAUUUAAGUUACAAGCUCAUGUAUAAAUUCAACACUCUUCAUCAAUAAAAAGUGUGUUCCAACAGCCCAAAAAUAUAUAUUCUUCAUAAGUGUUAAAUCUAAGAUCAUCAUUUUGGUAUCAGAAAGUUAUCUUGAGGGGCCAGUGAGUUGAGUGAGCCUGGAUACCUUGAGAGUGCCUAAACACAAAGAAUAGCUACAACUUGCAAGGACCUUGCACAAUGCUUCUAAUACACUUGCACUUUCUCUUGCCGUUCUGUCGGUCUCUCUCUUCCAUUCUCUCUCACAUUCCUCGCUAUAUUUCAUUCCACACAGUGCCUUUCUCCUGUGAAAGCACCCACUACCGAUAUAGCAAGGCCCUCCAUUAGCAUCAAGUCCUGGAAGGUCCACCUUUUUCACCAAUUUGUCAUCCGACAAUAAAAUUCAUUAGGAAUCCUUGAUCUCUCUAGCCAAAAUAGUAAUGAAUACAUAGUUCUUUUCCAAUUUUGCCUACCUCAUUAAGCACCCUAAAGCAGGUGCCAUAUAAGUCAUUCGUAGUGAGAUUAUUAUAGCUCGGUGGAAACUGGACAUAAGCAAUUUCAUGGCCCUUCUGUUCAUCCAUGAAAAAGCACAAAGCAUCUCUCACCGAUUCUGAAUUGUUGGAGUACAUGUCACAGUCCACAUUAAGAAUGAUCGAACCGUUGCUUAUCUUUGAUGACACCCUUAUCUGUUCACCCAAAUCAUAAUCACCCGUAUAAAAAAUGAUGCAAUAGGCCGAGGUGCAUUGGAGGAAAGCUCAACUGAUUUUAUGGAUUUAGGAUUCAUGUGUGUAGAGGCUAGAGCAAAGUUUUACCAGUGAAUUCAUAGCUCCAGCUUUAAAAUUGUGGUGGUAUUGGGGUCUCUUCUCCCGGGACAAGUAUACUAGAGUUGGCAAGGAUUGGCCUUCAACAUCCACAGCCUUGUCCUCUCUCCCAUCAAUUAGUAUCUGUUAUUCUAUAUUAUAUUAGUGAAAUAUGAAGCUCACAAAUAUAAAUGUUUUGAUUUUCAAGCACCUGAACAAUGGACUGAUGAUUAUACUGUGUAGAGACAUGGUUCCACUCUUGAAAUCCUUUGUGCUCCUUUCUUAUUUCUUCUGAAACCCUGCCCAGUCUAGUGGUGGUUUCAAUUCUAUUCUUCAUGUCUUCAUACGAUUUCUACAAUGAGAAAACAGAGUAAGUGUUACACUGGAGCCAGAAAACCGAUAAAAGGCCCUAGUUAUAAUGGUUAAAGAUGAAAAAUUCGAGCACUGUGAGUGUAAAACUUACUGCCAAAGCUACAAAGCCUAAUGAAAAAUAAUUUGGUUAAAAUUCGUUCAUGAUAGUAGUAAUAGUGACAGACUUAAUAGAAUGCAUUUUAAGAUCAGAAUCCGAGUAUAAUCCUAAAAAAAAGGUUCAAACCUAAUCUGUGUUGUCUUUGAAUUCCAACAUGACUGUUCAUUAUUUGUAAUAUAAUUUAGGAAGGAAAAAUAUCUGGAAGAAUAUGGGAAGCAAUGAUCUAAGCAUGGUGGGACCAGUAUAUGGAAGAGGGCUGAGGAUGUGAUCUCUUUACAGUCUGUAGCAGAAAACAAAUUCAAUGACAGGACAGCUUUCUUCUUCUUGCUUCUUUCUUGGGUAAUUUGAAGCGAACAAUUUGUGUACAUUGCAUCUGAGUCUUAUUCCAACUUCAUUCAAUUUUUUUUUAUAACAAAUACUAGAAAGGUGGACCACCAACUCAGGGCAGCCAUGGAAGGAUAUCCUUAGUGCAAAAUUUAAAAACUAAAAAAAUUGAAAGAGAAAAGAAUGGCAAGGAAGAAGAACCAUUAUUGGGGAGGUUGAAUGAACUCAGGGCAGCCACGGAAAUAGUGCAAAUAUGUUAAAAAUAAAUGUUCAAACGGAAAUUAAUCUUAAACUAAAAUUCAUAGAAUCCAAAGAAAAAGAAACAGAGAAAGUUAUACCUUGAUGGAGAACCGCUCUUGAGCCAUGAGAGGAUUACUAUCAUGGGGUUUGGGAUUUGUGGAAAAAUAAGCAGCAGGUGACCUUGGUUCUAUACUGAACUUCCUGCAAAAUGGUAGCCAAUGUUUUGAGAAGCGAGAGGCCUCUAACAAGGCAUAGAAGGUCAGGUCUGAGCCUCCAUCAUCAGAGAGAUAGACGCAUAGUUUUUGUGAUGGAUAAUUAUAAGCCAUGACUGAUAAAACGGUGUUGAUGACCAUGAUGGGUGGCUCUAUUCUUGGUUUUGCAGUGCACACAAAUAUGUCUAUGUAUGGAAAAGCGUUCUCAUAUCUGCAAUUAAGUUUCACAAUAGGCAAUUAGCAAGUGAAGAUGGAGGCAAGAAAAGGAAGAGGAGGAGAGAAAAGAUCACCUCUGAGAGAGCCUGUCUUUGAAGGUGUAGCGAUAGAUGGGGUUCCAUCUAACGAAUUGAGUGAUGAACCAGUACAAACUGAACCACAAUUCAGCUAAAGAUAAACCCAUCCAAGCCCAUCUUUUCAGUAGUUGUCCACCUGCAGCUGGGAAGUGAACCACCCUAUAAACACAGAUAAAAGUGAUGCCCACCAAAACAGAUGCUGCAUAGCAUUUGAAUAGUAUACGACCCCUAGCAGCUUUUGUUUCAAAGAGAGGAAGAUAGCCAUCUUUGCCCAUUGCUUCUGUCUUUCUCUCACCACCAUGUGAUCAGCUUAUAUAAAUAGUUUGGUUUGCAUUUUUCAUUUUAUUGUUGUUAUGGUCAAAACUUUACUUUGCCGCUUUAAAUAGCAUCAAAGAAAGGAGUAAAAACAAAUUAUCCCAUCUAAGCCCACCCAUCUCUAAAUUGCUUUCCUCUUGUAAAUGACCCGAGCACAAAUAGAACAAGUACCCACAAAGAUUGAAACUGGAUAAACAGUGAAACAAGAUUUGACCCUUUUCAGCCCUUGUUUCAAACAGAGGAAGAGAAGCAUCUCUCUAGCUCUCAUACUCUUACUCUCCCUCUGCUGUCUCAUGCAUUACCUUAUAUAACCUGCCUACUGUUUCCUUUAAAUUCAAGAAUGUAUCUAACAAAGAGAGAAGGGAUAUUCAAGGUUUAAGCAUCCUCUGCAUGCACAAACAGAGUUCAUGUGCUCAUUCUUUUUUCCUUAAAAAAUUGCAAUUUCUGGACUCUCUGGUGACACCCUGAUGAACAGGGGUUUAAGCAAGAGGCUUGUAACAAAUUAAAAAUGGUAUAUGAUUAAUAUCUAAGCCUUUAUACCUGGAAAAACAUAUACUAUCCAUUAUUGAAAGUUGAAACUGCAUCAGUUAUACAUAUAUAACAGUUCUUGAGAGCAUUAUAUAAUACAUAUAAAGUUGUGGCAAAGAGACUUUGCUUACUGAUACAGUAAACUAAUACAAGGCUAUUGAACAGGCCAACAGCGCUAAAGAAACUGAUUUGUAUGUGACUGAUGUUGGCAUGGUGCCCUUGUCCUUGCGGAAAAAGAGCCCUUGGUAUACAGGCAGGUUGAUGAGAACAAGAACCCCACAUAAGAUAAUCUGCAGAGCUAGUGACUCCAAAGGUUUAAUUUGAAUAUCCACAACCACCCUCUUUAUACCACAAACAAAACUGAACAGAUUGAGCAAUGCAAGUGUAGCUAAAAUGGUAAACAUUGGUGAAGGAGAACCAAACUCCAUGAUUUCUUGCUCGUAUCUUUGAGACACAUCUUCAUCACACACCUUUGCAGUGACAGCAAAAGUGGUCUCAGCAAAGCCUAGUAUCCUCAAGAUUGUAUCAAGGAAGGCAAAGAAGUAGGAAGUUGUCCUUCUGAACAUCCAUAUUCUUUGAUCAUUCCACCAACCUUGGAUUGUGCCGCCAUACCAAUGAAACUCACCUAAGCUGUAUGCAUGCUUGGCGAUAAUGACAUAGGCAAAGGGAAGGACCCACAGGCUCCAUAUCUGAACAAGUAACAUAAUUCAUUGCUGGGAACCAAAUAGCAUUUCAAUUGUUUGGAUACAGCAAAGUGUCAUGCCAGGACUUCUCUUUUCUAAAAUGGACGAAGAAAUGCACAUAGUUCUUUUCGAAGUAUUUAGGAAAAUCUAUCAUGUUCAGACACUAAAUUUAUUGAGAAAUUUUGCUGGCUAGCGAUCAUACAUCAUGGAACAAUGUUGCCUGUGCUUGACAGUAAGUAUUUUGCAGUUUUGUACUACUCAGAAGUUUUUAAGUUUGGAAGUAUCUGUUUCAAUGAUGUAAUUUUCAUACCUCUGGAAACAAGGAGAUGCCUCCAAGGAGACAAAGGGAUGGGACAGCAGCAUAGCAUAGCGUAGCCAAGGAGUACGCAGCCCACAGAUUAUAGAUAGAGUAUGCGAGUUGAAGUUUCAGAGGAACCUUUUUGUGUCCAUAUAUNNNNNNNNNNNNNNNNNNNNNNNNNNNNNNNNNNNNNNNNNNNNNNNNNNNNNNNNNNNNNNNNNNNNNNNNNNNNNNNNNNNNNNNNNNNNNNNNNNNNGAAGCCCUUCCUUUCUGGAUUGAAAUAGACGGAUUUCCAACCUCUACAUUGUAUUGAGAAUCCUGUGAUAAUGUCUUCCACUGCACAAUCAUACUUAAGGCCCAUCUGCAAUUCAACAUAAAGAUUAAGUUUUUUAGCUUAAGAAAUAGGAAAAAGCUUUACAGGCAGGAAAUUCAUGAGACAGAGAGACAGAAGAACCUCCUUUCCCCAUUGACUGUUCUCUUCGUAGGUACAACUUGCAAGGACCUUACAUGAUUCUUCUAAUACACUAGCACUUUCUCUUCCUCUUCUGUCAUUCUCUCUCUUCCAUUCUCUCUCACAUUCCUUGCCAUAUUUCAUUCCACACAGUGCCACUCUCCUAUGAAAGCACCCGGUACCAAUAUAGAAAGGUCCUCCAUUAGAAUCAAGGCCUGGAAGUUCCACCUUUUUCACCAGUCAUGCCAAAAGCCAACAAUAAAAUCAUUAGGAAGUCAUUGCUAAUGCCUACCUCCUCUAGGCCAAGCAGUAAGGAAUAAAUAAUUCUUUCCAAUCUUGCCUACCUGAAUAAUCACCCUAAAGCAGGUGCCAUAUAAGUCAUUCCUAGUAAGAUUAUCGUAGCACUGUGGAAACUGGACAUAAGCAAUUUCAUGGCCCUUCUCUUCAUCCAUGAAAAAACACAGAGCAUCUCUCACUGAUUCUGAAUUGUUGGAGUACAUGUCACAGUCCACAUUAAGAAUAAUCGAGCCAUUGCUUAUCUUUGAUGACACCCUUAUCUGUUCAACAAAAUCAGAGUCACCUACAUUAAGAUAAUUGGCAGUGGUUCACUGUAGGAAAGCUGAAGUCAUUUAAGCUUACGAGUGCAUUCAUGGCUCCAGCUUUAAAAUUGUGAUGGUAUUGGGGUCUCUUCUCACGGGACAAGUAUACUAGAGUUGGCAAAGGUUGUCCUUCAGAGUCCACAGCCUUGGGGUCUCUCCCAUCAAUCACUAUCUGUUACUUUAUAUAAUAUUAGUAAAAGAUGAAUCAAAGAUAAAUAUGGAGAAAAACUUAGUAGAGAUGUAUUUGUUUUCAAGAAGAAAUCUCUUGGAAUAGGAAAAAAUACACAAAUUAGUAGAAUAACUACUUGAACAAUGGACUGAUGGUCAUGCCGUGUUGAAGCACUGUUCCACUCCAGAAAUCCCUUGUGCUCCUUUCUUAUUUCUUCUGAAAUCCUGCCCAGUCUAGUGGUGGUUUCGAUUCUAUUCUUCAUGUCUUCAUAUAAUUCCUAUAAUGAGAAAAGGAAUAGAACUUCUAAAUCAUAUGUAGAAAAACUCUAAAAAGAUUUGCCUAGUAUGGGAGUCACACAUACUCAUUAUAACAUGGAAAGAGAAAAAUUCAAGUACCAUACCACAUACCAUUACACACUCUGAUGAACAUUUUCUUUGUUCUCCUAAGAGUUUAAGUUCCUAGGAUUUGGACUUUUUUUAUUUUAUUUUAUUUUUUAAUUUUUUUAUUUGUGGGCAUACAUGUGGGGCUCAACAAAUCGGGAAAAUAAAUAUGUAUUGAGGUUUGAAUACAUGAUCUCCCACCCAGCCUGCUUUAUCAAUUUUACUAAAAACUUAACCUUGCAGGAUUUGCACCCAUAAUAUAUAUUAUACUCUUCCACACUCAUCAUUAUUUAUGAUCUCUAAAUUGUUUGCAGGAUUUGGAUCUAUGAUAUAUGUUAUAUUCUUCCACUCUUCAUCAAUUAUGAUCUCUAAAUUGCUUGUACGAUUUGGACCCAUAAUAUGUCUUGUACUCUAUCAUAUUCCUCAAUUCUGAUCCCUCAUAGAAUUUAUUUGAGUGAUUAGAAUGCAAGUCAAAUCUUAAGAGAAAGGAAGGAAUUUCAUCUACGUUGUACCAAUAAGACUCUUGCCUUCUGGAAAGUCCUUAAACCAUAUUUUACACUGCUUUUAAAAAGCACUUAAUUUUACUUAUAUAAAUAUUUUUUAGAAAAAAAUAUGGUCGCUUCAUAAAAAUUUAAAAAAAUUUCUAAAAAAUUAAAAAAUCUUAGCAUUCUAUAUAUGGUCCUCCCCAAAAAAAAAAAAAAAACUUCUGAAGAACACUACCGAGCACACACUCAUUCAUUCAUUAUCUUCCCUGCAAAACUUUCCGGAAAAGAUGCAACAAUUUUGAAGUGGAUCAGACUGAUGAUGCACAGAGGUCGACAUUAAUGUUGGGGAUCUUUCGUAUCCUAAAUAGUUACUCAUUAAAAGGACAGCCAUCCUUCUUACUGUCUGAGGCUCUCUUCCAGCUUCGAUUAUUUCCUUUAACAAUUGGGUCUUUGGAAUGAAGUCAGAGCAGCCUUGGAAGUAGUUGCAACUUGCAACUAUAUGUUGACAAUUGAUCUUAAACCAGAAUUCAUAGAAUCCAAAGAGAAAAAAACAGAGAAAGUUGUACCUUGAUGGACAACCAUUCCUGAGCCAUGAGAGGAUUGCUAGCAGGGGAUUCAGGAGUUGUGGAAAAAUAAGCAGCAGGUGAUCUUGGUUCUAUACUGAACUUCCGACAAAAUGGUAGCCAAUGUUUUGAGAAGUGAGAGGCCUCCAACAAAGCAUAGAAGGUCAGGUCUGAGCCUCCAUCAUCAGAGAGAUAGACGCUUAGGUUCUGUGAUGGGUAAUUGUAAGCCAUGACUGAUAAAACAGUGUUGAUGACCAUGAUGGGUGGCUCUAUUCUUGGAUCUGCAGUGCACACAAAUAUGUCUAUGCCCGG
This 40331-nucleotide long non-coding RNA is filed under the name Vitis vinifera (wine grape). Its description in RNAcentral is "long non-coding RNA (VVIN_LNC007691)". The record is from RNAcentral. Lineage: Eukaryota; Viridiplantae; Streptophyta; Magnoliopsida; Vitales; Vitaceae.